Molecule: long non-coding RNA, 784 nt
Organism: Passer domesticus (house sparrow)
Lineage: Eukaryota; Metazoa; Chordata; Aves; Passeriformes; Passeridae
Exons: 2
Source: RefSeq, a predicted model, not a curated record
AAGCUGGCCUGUGCCCUCUGCGAGGCACUGGGCAGCCAGAUCAUUAAGUUUGCUGACAGCACACCUCCACACGUGCAGGAAAACCUCAACAGCCUUCUGGGCUGGUGAAGGUUUGAUGUUCUCCAGAAAGUGGACAAAUUUCUGAGCUGGACACCACCGGACAUGACUUUUCAGCUGUGCCAGAAAUGACAAAAUACUAAGGAAGGGUGUGCAUCUGCCCCUGCUCUGUUAUCAGCAUUGCCCUUCCUAGUCAUGACGUGGGGGGCCUCAAGCAACAGCAGACUGAUGACAAGGUAAAGAUGAAGUAUGGAUCAGCCUCAAGUGAACCCAGACUGAGGAAAAGGUGAAGACUAAGCAUGGAUCAGCCUGAAGCAACUGGAGACUGAGGACAAGGUGAAGACCAAGCAUGGAUCAGUCUCACACAGAGAUACGACCGGCUACAGUCUUUCCAAGUUUUCUCUGGACAUUUCCAAUAUUCCCUUACCAGGAAAGUCCUUGCCUGCAGUCCAGAAGCGCUCUUACCUCCAAGAUCAGGAAGAAGCUGCCGACUGUCCAAAGAAUAUUUCAAGUUAGGAUUUAGGCUUUAGGAUUAUCAAGAAGAGGAUUCACCAAGAAGAGCAUUCAUCGAGAAUAGGAUUCAUCAAGAAGAGGAUUCAGCCAGAUUAGGAUUCAUCAAGAAUAGGAUUCAUCCACAAUAGGAGUUAGGAUUUUGGAAUAGGUUUAGGCUUCAUAGUUACGGAUGUAUCUGUGUUCUGAUAGUUUUGAAUAAAUGUGUUUGAUUGUA